UCUUGAAGUCUUAGUGGCGCAGCUAACGCACUAAGUUGACCGCCUGGGGAGUACGGCCGCAAGGUUAAAACUCAAAUGAAUUGACGGGGGCCCGCACAAGCGGUGGAGCAUGUGGUUUAAUUCGACGCAACGCGAAGAACCUUACCUGGCCUUGACAUCCAGAGAACUUUCCAGAGAUGGAUUGGUGCCUUCGGGAACUCUGUGACAGGUGCUGCAUGGCCGUCGUCAGCUCGUGUCGUGAGAUGUUGGGUUAAGUCCCGUAACGAGCGCAACCCCUAUCCCUGGUUGCUAGCAGGUAAUGCUGAGAACUCCAGGGAGACUGCCGGUGACAAACCGGAGGAAGGUGGGGAUGACGUCAGGUCAUCAUGGCCCUUACGGCCAGGGCUACACACGUGCUACAAUGGCGCGUACAGAGGGCUGCGAACUCGCGAGAGUAAGCCAAUCCCUUAAAACGCGUCGUAGUCCGGAUCGGAGUCUGCAACUCGACUCCGUGAAGUCGGAAUCGCUAGUAAUCGCGAAUCAGAAUGUCGCGGUGAAUACGUUCCCGGGCCUUGUACACACCGCCCGUCACACCAUGGGAGUGGAUUGCACCAGAAGUGGUUAGUCUAACCUUCGGGAGGACGAUCACCACGGUGUGGUUCAUGACUGGGGUG
This 653-nucleotide ribosomal RNA is filed under the name uncultured bacterium. RNAcentral's name for it is "bacterial SSU rRNA". It matches the Rfam family "Bacterial small subunit ribosomal RNA", at positions 830 to 1482 of the family's 1533-position model. The record is from RNAcentral.